Molecule: ribosomal RNA, 460 nt
Filed under: uncultured bacterium
Lineage: Bacteria
Description: partial 16S ribosomal RNA
Rfam family: Bacterial small subunit ribosomal RNA
Source: RNAcentral
CCUACGGGAGACAGCAGUGAGGAAUAUUGGUCAAUGGGCUUACGCCUGAACCAGCCAAGUCGCGUGAGGGAAGACUGCCCUAUGGGUUGUAAACCUCUUUUGUCAGGGAGCAAUUUGCGCUACGUGUAGCGUUAUCUAUAGUACCUGAAGAAAAAGCAUCGGCUAACUCCGUGCCAGCAGCCGCGGUAAUACGGAGGAUGCGAGCGUUAUCCGGUUUUAUUGGGUUUAAAGGGUGCGUAGGCGGAAUGCCAAGUCAGCGGGAAAAUCGCGGGGCUCAACCUCGCUCCGCCGUUGAAACUGGCGGUCGGGAGUGGGCGAGAAGUAGGCGGAAUGCGUGGUGUAGCGGUGAAAUGCAUAGAUAUCACGCAGAACUCCGAUUGCGAAGGCAGCAUACCGGCGCCCAACUGACGCUGAAGCACGAAAGCGUGGGUAUCGAACAGGAUUAGAUACCCCAAUAGUC